Molecule: ribosomal RNA, 759 nt
Filed under: Grevenius granulifer
Lineage: Eukaryota; Metazoa; Tardigrada; Eutardigrada; Parachela; Doryphoribiidae
Description: SSU rRNA
Rfam family: Eukaryotic small subunit ribosomal RNA
Source: RNAcentral
AAAUCAGUUAUGUUCCCUAGAUCGUAUGAAUUACAUGGAUAACUGUGGUAAUUCUAGAGCUAAUACAUGCAUCCAGCUCGGCUGCCUUGUGCAGCGAGCGCAGUUAUUAGAACAAAACCAAUCCGGCUUCUGUCGGUAAAUUGGUGACUCUGAAUAACCGAAGCGGAGCGCUAAGGUCUCGUACCGGCGCCAGAUCUUUCAAGUGUCUGACUUAUCAGCUUGUUGCGAGGUUAUGUUCCUCGCAUGGCUGUUACGGGUGACGGGGAAUCAGGGUCCGAUUCCGGAGAGGGAGCCUGAGAAACGGCUACCACAUCCAAGGAAGGCAGCAGGCGCGCAAAUUACCCACUCCCGGCACGGGGAGGUAGUGACGAAAAAUAACGAUGCGAGAGCUUUUAGCUUUUCGUAAUCGGAAUGGGUACACUUUAAAUCCUUUAACGAGGAUCUAUUGGAGGGCAAGUCUGGUGCCAGCAGCCGCGGUAAUUCCAGCUCCAAUAGCGUAUAUUAAAGUUGCUGCGGUUAAAAAGCUCGUAGUUGGAUCCGGGCAGUCGACGCGCGGUGCGCUUUACGGCGUUACUGCGUGCUCGUCGCCACUAUCCGGCCUUUGUCUUUCAUGUUCUUUACUGAGCGUGAUCGGCGACCGGGAACGUUUACUUUGAAAAAAUUAGAGUGCUUAAAGCAGGCAUNUGGCCUUGCAUAAUGGUGCAUGGAAUAAUGGAAUAGGACCUCGGUUCUAUUUUGUUGGUUUUCGGAGCUCGAGGU